RNAcentral lists this long non-coding RNA (1376 nucleotides) under Capra hircus (goat). Its description in RNAcentral is "lncRNA (ENSCHIG00000005192.1)". Lineage: Eukaryota; Metazoa; Chordata; Mammalia; Artiodactyla; Bovidae. The record is from RNAcentral.
CACCAUUUAAGAUACAGUCUUUUCAAAUUUAGAAACCUCAAUGAUUGCUAUACUAAUAAUUGCUCGAGCAUGUGAUGGGCACUCAGCAAUUUUUGAACUGUUUAGUACAAAACUUAUUCUGGCAAUCCAUAUCCUUUAGUUUCAAGGAAUAUCUAUAACAUUCUUGAUCCUUAAACUGGGAGAAAGAAGAGUUUAUGUCCACUUAUCCAUGAAUAAUAUUUUUAUUUUUCAUUUAGGUUUUCAGUCUUCUGGAAAGUCCAUUUCUCCAAAAAUACGUUUUACAUAGAUAUUUUCGUUGAUUUUACAAUUCCUAAUAGGCUCUGAACUUCCAGAGGCCAAACUCUUUCUCAUACUCCUCUUGUGUCUCCAAUUCUUGGGCAUAUGGAUGACACUUAACAAAUCUGGGGUGGGAAAGUAUUAUAAGUAAUAAUGGAUGCCUCACCUCUUUCCCCCACCAGUUAUUACCUGUGACUGCUACUCUAUCUUUCUUUGGAUGGCUGAGCAGUCUGUCUUGAUUUGUUUUUUGAAGGAAUGAUGAAGCAGGCUGUGAAGACAAAGGAAAAAGCCUUGUGUUUUGAGAUUCAAUAUCACAAGCCCAGAUGCAGAAGACAAAGAUCUGGAAGAAUAUAAAGGGCCAGAAUUUGAGGCACAGCAGUACUCCAGGUCAGACAAUGCCAAAUUGCUCUGCUUUUGUUUAAACUGGAGCAGACUCCAACAGCUUGACCUUGCCUCAGAAGAAAAGGCCUGGCAUGAAAGAAUAGAAAUUUAAUAUAAGACCUAAUAUUUACAGCGAGUUUACUACAAUGCUCAAGGGGAUUGCAGAAAGACAGAAUUGAGGAAAACAUGCUUUCUUUCAAAAGUAUGUAUUCUCCUUGUUACCAAAGGUCUAAAUUCAAUAGUUGACAACAAUGAGGUAUCUCCAAUGAAAAAACAAAUAUGUAUGUAUAAAUAUUUCUGUAAAAUAGGAUGAAUUACAUAUUGACACUAUAAUAUCUCCCAUGGAUAUGGGGCAACAUGGAUGUUGACCCUGUUCUUCAAGCAGAUUCCUAACAGAGUUGUUUUCUUUUCCUCACACAGAGAAACUAUGGUAGAGUCGACUGGUUAUGAGCACAGGUGAACUACGUUUGAUACCAUCUCACAGAAGGGUUGUGAAAAUUAAAUGACAUAGUAAGUUCGUUUUCUUUAAAAAGUUUUUUUUUUUUUUGAUGUGGUCCAUGUUUAAGACCUUAAUUGAUUUUGUCACAAUAUUGCUUCCGUUUUAUAUUUUGGUUUUUAGUCUGGAAGGCAUGUGGAGUCCUCCCUGACCGAGGAUCGAAUCCACACCCCCUGCAUUGGAAGGCAAAGUCUUAACCACUGGGCCACCAGGGAAAUCUCAG